ACGGGGUGGAGCAGGCGCGAGAACUUUACAAUGCGAGAAAUCGUGAUAAGGGAACCCCGAGUGCCCGUAAAUUCGGGCUGUCCGUCAGUGUAAAUAACUGGCGAAGAAAGGGCCGGGCAAGACCGGUGCCAGCCGCCGCGGUAAUACCGGCGGCUCGAGUGGUGGCCGCUAUUACUGGGCUUAAAGCGUCCGUAGCUGGGUUGUUAAGUCUCCUGGGAAAUCCACCGGCUCAACCGAUGGGCGUUCAGGAGAUACUGGCAACCUAGGGACCGGGAGAGGUGAGAGGUACUCCAGGGGUAGGAGUGAAAUCCUGUAAUCCUUGGGGGACCACCUGUGGCGAAGGCGUCUCACCAGAACGGCUCCGACAGUGAGGGACGAAAGCUGGGGGAGCAAACCGGAUUAGAUACCCGGGUAGUCCCAGCUGUAAACGAUGCGCGUUAGGUGUAUCGGUGACCACGAGUCACCGAGGUGCCGAAGAGAAAUCGUGAAACGUGCCGCCUGGGAAGUACGGUCGCAAGGCUGAAACUUAAAGGAAUUGGCGGGGGAGGCAC
RNAcentral lists this ribosomal RNA (551 nucleotides) under uncultured archaeon. Its description in RNAcentral is "bacterial SSU rRNA". It matches the Rfam family "Archaeal small subunit ribosomal RNA", at positions 325 to 880 of the family's 1478-position model. The record is from RNAcentral.